Molecule: ribosomal RNA, 683 nt
Filed under: uncultured bacterium
Lineage: Bacteria
Description: bacterial SSU rRNA
Rfam family: Bacterial small subunit ribosomal RNA
Source: RNAcentral
GAGUUUGAUCCUGGCUCAGGAUGAACGCUGGCGGCGUGCCUAACACAUGCAAGUCGAACGGACUUAUAACGAAACCUAGUGAAUUAUAAGUUAGUGGCGGACGGGUGAGUAACGCGUGGAAAACCUGCCGUAUACUGGGGGAUAACACUUAGAAAUAGGUGCUAAUACCGCAUAAGCGCACAGCUUCGCAUGAAGCAGUGUGAAAAACUCCGGUGGUAUACGAUGGUUCCGCGUCUGAUUAGCUAGUUGGUGAGGUAAAAGCCCACCAAGGCAACGAUCAGUAGCCGGCCUGAGAGGGUGAACGGCCACAUUGGGACUGGGACACGGCCCAGACUCCUACGGGAGGCAGCAGUGGGGGAUAUUGCACAAUGGGGGAAACCCUGAUGCAGCGACGCCGCGUGAGUGAAGAAGUAUUUCGGUACGUAAAGCUCUAUCAGCAGGGAAGAAUAAUGACGGUACCUGACUAAGAAGCCCCGGCUAACUACGUGCCAGCAGCCGCGGUAAUACGCAGGGAGCAAGCGUUAUCCGGAUUUAUUGGGUGUAAAGGGUGCGUAGACGGGAAAUUAAGUUAGUUGUGAAAUCCCUCGGCUCAACUGAGGAACUGCAACUAAAACUGAUUUUCUUGAGUGCANGAGAGGUAAGUGGAAUUCCUAGUGUAGCGGUGAAAUGCGUAAAUAUUAAGG